RNAcentral lists this ribosomal RNA (361 nucleotides) under uncultured bacterium. RNAcentral describes it as "bacterial SSU rRNA". It matches the Rfam family "Bacterial small subunit ribosomal RNA", at positions 29 to 418 of the family's 1533-position model. The record is from RNAcentral.
AACGAACGCUGGCGGCAUGCCUAACACAUGCAAGUCGAACGAUGGCUUCGGCCAUAGUGGCGGACGGGUGAGUAGCGCGUGGGAACCUGCCCCGAGGUACGGAAUAACCGCUGGAAACGGCGGCUAAUACCGUAUGAGCCCUGAGGGGGAAAGAUUUAUCGCCUUGGGAGGGGCCCGCGUCCGAUUAGGUAGUUGGUGAGGUAAAGGCUCACCAAGCCUGCGAUCGGUAGCUGGUCUGAGAGGAUGAUCAGCCACACUGGGACUGAGACACGGCCCAGACUCCUACGGGAGGCAGCAGUGGGGAAUAUUGCGCAAUGGGCGAAAGCCUGACGCAGCGACGCCGCGUGGUGAUGAAGGCCUU